This 484-nucleotide ribosomal RNA is filed under the name uncultured bacterium. RNAcentral's name for it is "partial 16S ribosomal RNA". It matches the Rfam family "Bacterial small subunit ribosomal RNA", at positions 29 to 507 of the family's 1533-position model. The record is from RNAcentral.
AUUGAACGCUGGCGGCAUGCUUUACACAUGCAAGUCGAACGGCAGCGCGGGCUUCGGCCUGGCGGCGAGUGGCGAACGGGUGAGUAAUACAUCGGAACGUGCCCAGUAGUGGGGGAUAGCUCGGCGAAAGCCGGAUUAAUACCGCAUACGACCUGAGGGUGAAAGCGGGGGAUCUUCGGACCUCGCGCUAUUGGAGCGGCCGAUGGCAGAUUAGCGAGUUGGUGGGGUAAAGGCCUACCAAGGCGACGAUCUGUAGCUGGUCUGAGAGGACGACCAGCCACACUGGGACUGAGACACGGCCCAGACUCCUACGGGAGGCAGCAGUGGGGAAUUUUGGACAAUGGGCGAAAGCCUGAUCCAGCAAUGCCGCGUGUGUGAUGAAGGCCUUCGGGUUGUAAAGCACUUUUGGCGGGAACGAAAAGGACUGUGCCAAUACCACGGUUCGAUGACGGUACCCGCAGAAUAAGCACCGGCUAACUACGUG